This 233-nucleotide non-coding RNA is filed under the name Clostridium sp. RNAcentral's name for it is "T-box sequence". It matches the Rfam family "T-box leader". From Rfam's summary of the family: Uncharged tRNA acts as the effector for transcription antitermination of genes in the T-box leader family. T-boxes are found upstream of many aminoacyl-tRNA synthetase genes and some amino acid biosynthetic genes usually in Gram-positive bacteria. The record is from RNAcentral. Lineage: Bacteria; Bacillati; Bacillota; Clostridia; Eubacteriales; Clostridiaceae.
UUGGUUGCGAUGAGAAAGAGGAGUACGCCUUCAACACGCAGCAGAGAGCCGAUCCCAUUGGCUGCAAGGAUCGGCGGCGGAUCGAGGCGGAAGGUCGCUUUUGAGCAUGUAACGUGAAGAUGUAAUGUCCUAGCGUUGUACGUUUGCCGCGUUAAGGCGUAUAAGUGGGAUCGGCAGAUUCGUUUUGCCGAUUCAACAAAGGUGGUACCGCGAGCGCCCGUUUCGUCCUUUGA